RNAcentral lists this ribosomal RNA (261 nucleotides) under uncultured bacterium. RNAcentral's name for it is "partial 16S ribosomal RNA". It matches the Rfam family "Bacterial small subunit ribosomal RNA", at positions 93 to 354 of the family's 1533-position model. The record is from RNAcentral.
AAGCGGCGGACGGGUGAGUAACGCGUGGGUAACCUGCCCUGUACACACGGAUAACAUACCGAAAGGUAUGCUAAUACGAGAUAAAGUACUUUUAUCGCAUGGUAGAAGUAUCAAAGCUUUUGCGGUACAGGAUGGACCCGCGUCUGAUUAGCUAGUUGGUAAGGUAACGGCUUACCAAGGCGACGAUCAGUAGCCGACCUGAGAGGGUGAUCGGCCACAUUGGAACUGAGACACGGUCCAAACUCCUACGGGAGGCAGCAG